GGAGAUGUAGCUUAAUGGAAGAGCACAGGGGUUAGCAUUCACAAGGCCCUGGGUUCAAUCCCCAGCACUUCGA
Molecule: transfer RNA, 73 nt
Filed under: Heterocephalus glaber (naked mole-rat)
Lineage: Eukaryota; Metazoa; Chordata; Mammalia; Rodentia; Bathyergidae
Rfam family: tRNA
About the family: Transfer RNA (tRNA) molecules are approximately 80 nucleotides in length. Their secondary structure includes four short double-helical elements and three loops (D, anti-codon, and T loops).
Source: Rfam by way of RNAcentral